GGGAAUCUUGCGCAAUGGGCGAAAGCCUGACGCAGCGACGCCGCGUGGGGGAAGAAGGCCUUAGGGUUGUAAACCUCUUUCAGCAGGGACGAAGCCACUCGGGUUAAUAGCCCAGAGGGUGACGGUACCUGCAGAAGAAGCCCCGGCUAACUACGUGCCAGCAGCCGCGGUAAUACGGAGGGGGCAAGCGUUGUCCGGAUUUAUUGGGCGUAAAGAGCGUGUAGGCGGCCGCACAGGUCCGUUGUGAAAACUGGAGGCUCAACCUUCAGACGUCGAUGGAAACCGUGCGGCUAGAGUCCGGAAGAGGAGAGUGGAAUUCCUGGUGUAGCGGUGAAAUGCGCAGAUAUCAGGAAGAACACCCGUGGCGAAGGCGGCUCUCUGGGACGGUACUGACGCUGAGACGCGAAAGCGUGGGGAGCGAAC
RNAcentral lists this ribosomal RNA (423 nucleotides) under uncultured bacterium. Its description in RNAcentral is "bacterial SSU rRNA". It matches the Rfam family "Bacterial small subunit ribosomal RNA", at positions 357 to 773 of the family's 1533-position model. The record is from RNAcentral.